AGCAGCCGUGGUAAUUCCAGCUCCAAUAGCGUAUAUUAAAGUUGUUGCAGUUAAAAAGCUCGUAGUUGAAUUUCGAGAUCAAUACGUCGGUCGUGCUUCGGUACGUACUGGCAUUGUUGGUUUCUCCCUUCUGACGAACCAUGAUGUCAUUUAUUUGGUGUCGUGGGAAAUCAGGACUGUUACUUUGAAAAAUUGAGUGUUUAAAGCAGGCUCGCGCUUGAAUACAUUAGCACGGAAUAAUGAAAUAGGACGUUUGAUUCUAUUUUGUUGGUUUCUAGGAUCGACGUAAUGAUUAAUAGGGAUAGUUGGGGGCAUUAGUAUUCAAUUGUCAGAGGUGAAAUUCUUGGAUUUAUUGAAGACUAACUACUGCGAAAGCAUUUGCCAAGGAUGUUUU
RNAcentral lists this ribosomal RNA (394 nucleotides) under uncultured Glomus. RNAcentral's name for it is "SSU rRNA". It matches the Rfam family "Eukaryotic small subunit ribosomal RNA", at positions 569 to 970 of the family's 1831-position model. The record is from RNAcentral. Lineage: Eukaryota; Fungi; Glomeromycota; Glomeromycetes; Glomerales; Glomeraceae.